Molecule: ribosomal RNA, 504 nt
Filed under: uncultured bacterium
Lineage: Bacteria
Description: bacterial SSU rRNA
Rfam family: Bacterial small subunit ribosomal RNA
Source: RNAcentral
AGAGUUUGAUCAUGGCUCAGAUUAAACGCUGGCGGCAUGCCUUACACAUGCAAGUCGAACGGCAGCACGGGGGCAACCCUGGUGGCGAGUGGCGAACGGGUGAGUAACGCAUCGGAACGUGCCCUGGAGUGGGGGAUAACGUAGCGAAAGUUACGCUAAUACCGCAUAUUCUGUGAGCAGGAAAGCAGGGGAUCGCAAGACCUUGCGCUCUGGGAGCGGCCGAUGUCGGAUUAGCUAGUUGGUGAGGUAAAGGCUUACCAAGGCGACGAUCUGUAGCGGGUCUGAGAGGAUGAUCCGCCACACUGGAACUGAGACACGGUCCAGACUCCUACGGGAGGCAGCAGUGGGGAAUUUUGGACAAUGGGCGCAAGCCUGAUCCAGCCAUGCCGCGUGAGUGAAGAAGGCCUUCGGGUUGUAAAGCUCUUUCGGCCGGGAAGAAAUCGCAUGGGUUAAUACCCUGUGUGGAUGACGGUACCGGAAUAAGAAGCACCGGCUAACUACGUG